RNAcentral lists this transfer RNA (71 nucleotides) under Candidatus Endomicrobiellum mastotermitis. RNAcentral's name for it is "tRNA-Gly". It matches the Rfam family "tRNA". From Rfam's summary of the family: Transfer RNA (tRNA) molecules are approximately 80 nucleotides in length. The record is from RNAcentral. Lineage: Bacteria; Pseudomonadati; Elusimicrobiota; Endomicrobiia; Endomicrobiales; Endomicrobiaceae.
GCGGGUGUAGUUUAGUGGUAAAACUCCAGCUUCCCAAGCUGGAGAUGUGGGUUCGAUUCCCAUCGCCCGCU